GUAGCCUAGUUUUCUCGUUUGUCGUUUGUUCACUUAUUUAUUAUUAUUAUUAUUAUUUUGACUCGUAAUGGGUAUGAGGUGUAAGGGGGCCUAUUACGGAUGUUAAGGGGAGAGGGCACCGCUCGGGUUUUAAUAAGCAUCUGUGGAGCUCAUUUAUAAGAUUGGCAUCCUCUGCUUCUGCAGAAAACAUGGCUACCAACAGCUUCUGUAUCCACCUGCGGAGGAGACUGACUGCUCUGUUAUUCCCCCAGCAUCUGUGAAGAGGCUCUGACUGGCUAAAGUGUUGGUAUAGUGAUCACCCCAGGGUUAGGCAACCAUGGCUGGUGAAAAGGAAAAACGUUAUGAACCUGGCUGUGCGGAGCUACCUGAGGAAGCUUGUAGGAGAAGGGUCAGUUUGCAGAGAAAGGGGGGCCUGGGCAGAUGACGCAAGAGGUGCCCAUUACAUCCCUCUAGAGGAAGGAGUCUGUAGCUUUAGGGGAAGACAGAGCCACAAGAUGGAAGGAGCUUGGAUGUCUGAACUAUUCCAUGGAGAAAAGCUGCAGCCAACGAAGAACACCUGCAAUGGACUCUUAACCUGGGGGUGACGACAACCACUGAAAUAUGCUGCAUCUUAGUCCAGGGAUUUUUAAAGUGUGGUUCCUGGAAGAGCUGGAUCAGAGUCAUCUGUGUUGAUGGUUUAACAUAAAGAUUUUCGAGCCCCAAGACUCAAGUAGGACAAGGAAUUUGAAUUUUUAAGCAGCUCACCUGACUUGUCUGUCCUCUAAUGUCUGAAGACAUCUGACCUCUGCUCUUUCAGUAAAAGCAACAAUGGUUUUAUGAGCAUUGUCGUCACAUCUCUCCACUCAAGGGAUCCUUCUCAUUUCUCCCAGCUGAGGUCACCCACAGCUGCUGCUUCUAACUGCUGGCUUCCAGCCUGCUGUCUGCCAGCUGGCUCUACCCUCUCCUAUAACACGGCAGAGAGUAGCUGUGGUCUCCUGCGUGCUCACCCUCUGCUCCCUUGGUCCUGCUCCAUGCUUUGGUCCUGCACUUAAAUUUUACAAGCAUACUCUCUUUCUCUUAAGAAUGAUUUUCAAUGCCAUUUAGAGGAAAUCUUGGGAUCAACUUGGGAAAAGACGGAGGCUCCUGGCUCUGAUCUUUGGGGACUUCAGAUUUUCUGGAUCAAGGAGAAAAAUGAGCCAAAUAUGGAGGAUCCCAUCAGCUGCAGCAAAGCUACUGGCCAUGAAGGGAAGUGAGAGAAGCAAAGAGAAGAGUGAAGCAGAAUGGGAAGGAAAAUGAUGAUUCUAUGGGCACCAAUCAUGUGAGUCUUCUUGAGGCUUUACCAAGGAAACAGGCAGUUUUAGAGUUGGCCUUAAGGAUGUUCUCUGGUGUCAUCAAAGAAAUGGAAAUGCAAAGCAGAGACAUGUGCAUUUAGAUAUGUGUAAGACUGUAGACUAUUUUUAGUGGAAAAUGGCUGCUGAGUGUGUGGAAAGAGUAUAAAAGAUUUCAGUGGGAAGAUUCUACAAUCAUUUGAGAUUCUCCAUUGCUGGAAAAUUCUCAAAUUAGGCUUAUGAAGGCAAUUUGAUUUAGCAAACAGCUCUCUGGACCAAGCAAAUCUUCUCAGCAGGGAUGGAAUUUGAACUGCACUUGUCCCUGGUUCUCACCUUCCCUGAGAAGCAGUGCAUCUGCAGUGUCCCAGGUGAUGCCCCCCACAGGCCUUGAAGCUUGUCUUCCAGAAGAGCCUUCAUUUCAGGGGCAGCAUUCCAGGAAGCACGCCCAUGAAACACUCAUGAGGAGGAACUGGGCUGCCAAUUAUGACUUGUCACUGCUCCAUCAACAUAAAAGCUCGGCAGCACUCAGAUGGCUCUUGAAAAUCUUUGAGAUAUAAUCUGAAAGGAGGUCCCAGUUUCUGCCCCGGGCUGUUUGCAUCAUCAACCUGCAAAAUUCCAAUCUUGGAACUUGCUGAGAUUUUCAUUCUGAGACUCUCUGCCCUGGGCCUUGAGGAUAGCCAGAAGAAUACUAUAUUUCUUCUGCCUCUCUUUCUCUUUCUAUCUAAAGAGGUCAGGAUUAUAUAUCCACUUUGCUGAAUAUAGAAUCAAACCCAAUUGCCAUCAGCAAGUGCUGUAUAUCACCUACCACACCUGGGACCAGGCAUCAACAAGACCUUGACAGGGCCAGAAGCCUCAAGCCCUCAUUGCCAAGCCCAUUAAAAUCAGGAACUCAAUCUCAUUAAGGAAGGAGUGCAAUGGAUAUAGCCAGACAGGAGGAUUUCCACUUCAGUAUUAUCCUGAAUAGUGAACAACCAUCUCUGCUUUUCUCAGGGAGAAAGAUGUGGUAACAGUCACAAUGAUAGUAGACGAUGGUGACUGUUUAAUUUGUCAUGGCUAACAUAUAUGGUUAGCAAAUUGAGUUUCCUUUUAGGUAUAGUCUGAAUUGAACUGAAGUUCAUUAUAAUUCCCCUAAGUUGAUCUGUGAGGGCAUUUUAGCCUUCUUGGUAAAAUUAAAUAAUAUCAGUCAAAAAGGCUGUUAAACCAAUUCUUACACUUGAAAGCUUCCAGUUAUUCUAAUAAUUUGGAAUCUGUGUCUCCCCCUCUGUGGCAAUGAGGCUGUUGCUUGCUUUUCCCAAGAGACUGUAUUGCAUCUUUCUUGUUUUCUGAGAUGAGAAACAACCUCAAGGUCAUGCCCAGUGAUAUGGUUUGGCUCUGUGCCCCCACCCAAAUCUCAUCCCGAAUUGUAAUCCCCACAUGUCGGAGGAGGGGCUUGGUGGGAGGUGACUGGAUUAUGGGGGUGUAUUUACCCCUUGUUUUCAUGAUAGUGAGUUCUCAUGAGAUUUGAUGGUUUAAAACUGUGUGGCACCGCCCCCUGCAAGCUCCCUCUCUCUCCUGCCACCAAGUAAGACGUGCCUUGCUUCUUCUUUGCCUUCUGCCAUGAUUGUAAGUUUUCUGAGGCUUCCCCAGCCAUGCAGAACUGUGU
Molecule: long non-coding RNA, 2949 nt
Filed under: Homo sapiens (human)
Lineage: Eukaryota; Metazoa; Chordata; Mammalia; Primates; Hominidae
Description: HSALNT0112036
Source: RNAcentral